GACGAACGCUGGCGGCGUGCCUAAUACAUGCAAGUAGAACGCUGAAGGAGGAGCUUGCUUCUCUGGAUGAGUUGCGAACGGGUGAGUAACGCGUAGGUAACCUGCCUGGUAGCGGGGGAUAACUAUUGGAAACGAUAGCUAAUACCGCAUAAGAGUAGAUGUUGCAUGACAUUUGCUUAAAAGGUGCAAUUGCAUCACUACCAGAUGGACCUGCGUUGUAUUAGCUAGUUGGUGGGGUAACGGCUCACCAAGGCGACGAUACAUAGCCGACCUGAGAGGGUGAUCGGCCACACUGGGACUGAGACACGGCCCAGACUCCUACGGGAGGCAGCAGUAGGGAAUCUUCGGCAAUGGACGGAAGUCUGACCGGGCAACGCCGCGUGAGUGAAGAAGGUUUUCGGAUCGUAAAGCUCUGUUGUAAGAGAAGGACGAGUGUGAGAGUGGAAAGUUCACACUGUGACGGUAUCUUACCAGAAAGGGACGGCUAACUACGUG
This 495-nucleotide ribosomal RNA is filed under the name uncultured bacterium. Its description in RNAcentral is "partial 16S ribosomal RNA". It matches the Rfam family "Bacterial small subunit ribosomal RNA", at positions 28 to 507 of the family's 1533-position model. The record is from RNAcentral.